RNAcentral lists this ribosomal RNA (269 nucleotides) under uncultured prokaryote. RNAcentral's name for it is "partial 16S ribosomal RNA". It matches the Rfam family "Bacterial small subunit ribosomal RNA", at positions 524 to 792 of the family's 1533-position model. The record is from RNAcentral.
UACGUAGGUGGCGAGCGUUAUCCGGAAUUAUUGGGCGUAAAGAGCGCGCAGGUGGUUGAUUAAGUCUGAUGUGAAAGCCCACGGCUUAACCGUGGAGGGUCAUUGGAAACUGGUCGACUUGAGUGCAGAAGAGGGAAGUGGAAUUCCAUGUGUAGCGGUGAAAUGCGUAGAGAUAUGGAGGAACACCAGUGGCGAAGGCGGCUUCCUGGUCUGUAACUGACACUGAGGCGCGAAAGCGUGGGGAGCAAACAGGAUUAGAUACCCGGGUA